Rhopalosiphum padi (bird cherry-oat aphid) is the source of this 642-nucleotide long non-coding RNA. RefSeq lists it as uncharacterized. NCBI's taxonomy places the organism in Eukaryota, Metazoa, Arthropoda, Insecta, Hemiptera, Aphididae. The record is from RefSeq and is a predicted model, not a curated record. The transcript is spliced from 3 exons.
CCAAACCUAUUUUCUAUUUGGUUUAUCAAAACAUUAAUGAAUGCUGUCGUUGCUGUGUUGGAGUUUGUGUAUUUUUGUUUUAGUUGUGAACAAUAAUUAAGUAGAACUUUAGAAAAUACAACAACUUUUGAAAUAGUACAUGCAGCAACUUUAUUUUCUAGUCCCCACUCAGUGACAACACGUAUCAACUCAUUUUUUAAAUUUUCACUAGUAUGUGACUCUGAAUAUUUAAAACAUGAAAGUAAAUAACUUUUAAGUUCACAGUUGUGAUUUAUAAAGUGGGUAGUUAUAGCGGUGUAAUUUUCAUUUUUUACAGAGGUCCAGCUAUCUGUGGUUAGACUUACAAAAUUUGCAUUUUCAUGGAUAUCUUUUUUAACUUUAUCAUAUAUUUCACUGUACAUAAUUGGCAAGCGAGAUUUAGUUAAAGUUUUUCUUGAUGGUUUGGGAAUAUAUCGCGUUAUGUUGGAUUGAAUUUGAACUGGUGGAGCUACGGGAUCAGAAGAAGUUAACGUGCCGGGUAUUUGAUUUGAAACACAAAUUUGUGAAUUAACAGCCUAAGAAUAAUUAUUGUUUUAUUUUAAUAUUAAAUAUUGAAAUUUUAUAUUGUAUUAUACCUAUCAAAUAUAAAAUGUAUGAUUAUAA